This 250-nucleotide ribosomal RNA is filed under the name uncultured bacterium. Its description in RNAcentral is "partial 16S ribosomal RNA". It matches the Rfam family "Bacterial small subunit ribosomal RNA", at positions 524 to 773 of the family's 1533-position model. The record is from RNAcentral.
CACGUAGGGGGCGAGCGUUGUCCGGAAUUACUGGGCGUAAAGGGCGCGUAGGCGGCGAUUUAAGUCUGAUGUGAAACCCCUGGGCUUAACCUAGGGCUUGCAUUAGAAACUGAAUGGCUUGAGGGCAGGAGAGGAAAGCGGAAUUCCCAGUGUAGCGGUGAAAUGCGUAGAUAUUGGGAGGAACACCAGUGGCGAAGGCGGCUUUCUGGACUGAACCUGACGCUGAGGCGCGAAAGCCAGGGUAGCGAAC